GAGACAUGCCAUCUUGUUAGUGUAUCCAUGAUCUUUGAUUCAAUCCAAAUUCAUAGCCUUUUUUAAAUUUGAACCUGUAUUUAACUAGGCAAGUCAGUUAAGAACAAAUUAUUAUUUACAAUGACGGCUUACCCCGGUCAAAACCGGAAAACACUUGGCCAAUUGUGCGCCGCCGUAUGGGACUCCCAAUCACGGCCGGAUGUGAUACAUCCUGGAUUCGAACCAGAGACUGUCGUGACGCGAACUGAGAUGCAGUGCCUUCGACGGCUGUGCCACUUGGGAACCCGAUUAAGACAGACAACUGUUUAUUUCAGCAGAGAACACGCAGCAAAGAUGCCCUAGUAGGGAGGAAACAAGGCAUUUCCAAGUAGGCUGCAUUUUUAAGGAGGAGAGGAUCUUAUUUUCACCGCAGAUCUCCAUUUCACCAAGGACUGCUGCUGACUGGACGUUUUAUGUUUAUCGCACCAUUCUCUGUAAACCCUAGACACUGCCAUACGUGGAAAACCCAGGAGGGUGGCCGUUUCAGAGAUACGGGAACCGGCGCGCCUGGCACCGAUGAUCAAACCACGCUCAAAGUCACUUAGGUCAUUCGUUUUGCCACUUCUAAUGUUCAAUCGAACAGUAACUGAAUGCCUCGAUGCCUGUCUGCCUGCUUUAUAUAGCAAGCCACGGCCACGUGAGGUAAUGGGCUAGUGUACCUAAUAAACUUGCCACUGUGUGUAUAUAUAUUGCAUAUAGUAGCCACUGCUAGUAGCCAUGUAUUCAUCCAACAGUAAAUUAAAUGUCCUUUUCAUUUGAGGGCUACUAUCCAUGAGACCUAUAGGCCUAUACCCUCGUAAUGGCCUGCUCCAUAUCUAAAAGCCAUAUCAAAUAUCUUGGUUGUAAAACAGUUGACAUUGAGCUGAAUAUUUAGAGUUGAGAAAAACAUAUAUACCUACAGAAAGCUGAUACCCUCUUCUCCUCGGCAGGGACAAGAGGGGGAAGCUUCCAAAGCUUUGUUUUUCCCGCAAUUGCAUUUUAAAAGGAUAUACUAUCAGAACGCAAUGUAGAAUGUGCUCUUUCUACGUUCAUAGGCACCGUGAUACAUGAUCUGGUUGUCUAACUGAUUACCUAGUCAGAGCAGGUCUCUUUACGGAUGCCGCGUUAGACUUUGAAUGUGAGUGUGCGUGACCUAUUUCAUUGUUUUAUUUGUAUAUAUAUAUAUAUAUGUAUAUAAAAGUGUGUUAAUUUCAAGCAGCCCACCCAAUUGAAAAUUUAUCAAGCUUUGAAAAUUAGCAAUUCAGUGAGCUUCAAAAGUAUUGGGACAGUGAUACAUUUUUUGUUGUUUAGACUCUGCACAAAUACCAAACUUUAGACUACUUUAAUGCACAUAUAAAUGAAUUUGUCCCAAUACCUUUGGUCCCCUAAAAUGGGGGGUACUAUGUACAAAACGUGCUGUAAUUUUUUUAACGGUUCACCCGAUAUGGAUGAAAAUACCUUCAAAUUCAAGCUGACAGUCUGCACUUUAACCUCAUAGUCAAUGUAUCAUUUCAAAUCCAAAGUAAUGGAGUACAGAGGCCAAACAACAGUCUAAACGGUCAAACAGAUUUGGAUGAAAAAAAGGUGACAUUCUGCACGUAUGAAACGUUUGAUCUCAAAUCCAAAAUGCUGGAGUAUGCUUCACUGUCCAAUUGCAUGUAGGUAAUCAUACGGUGAAAGAAUGCUUUGGCCUCACUCAUGAAGGCCAUACCAACCUCAGCGCAGCUAAUACUGGAACAAAUAUGUGUAAAGCAAAGGCAUAGGGUAAUACUUAGUUAUAGGUAUCUUUGACUUGAUGUCGUCUGAAGGUGAUUCCUCCUCCAGAACAAAUGUGCAAUCUGUUCUAUAGCCCAGAAUGUGAACUGUAUUUACACAAAAUGUGAUCAAAUAGUUUGCUAAAUGUGAUAGGCUGAUCCUCGGCUGUGGUGAUCAGGCAUUGUGAGGAUUAAGAAUGUAAUAGCUAUGGAUGUAUCCCAAAUGGCACCCUAUUCCAGAUACUGUAGUUAGUGCACUACUUUUGACCAGUGCCCAUAUUGAGAACAGAGUGCCAUUUGGGAUGUUCCCUAUCUGAGUUAAGAUGAAGGAUUGAGGGGGCAUCCCUCAGCUUAAUGAACAGUUGAAUCACUUGCAUUCUCCUGUUUCUUUAACUCACAUUGUAGUUGUUGUUGUUUUUAUUUGUAUUUUUUUAAUGAUAUUUUCUAGUAUUAUCUAUACACUACUGUUAUUGUUAUCACUGCAUUGUUGGAAAAGAGCUCUCAGGGUCAUU
Long non-coding RNA from Oncorhynchus gorbuscha (pink salmon), 2284 nucleotides. RefSeq lists it as uncharacterized. NCBI's taxonomy places the organism in Eukaryota, Metazoa, Chordata, Actinopteri, Salmoniformes, Salmonidae. The record is from RefSeq and is a predicted model, not a curated record. The transcript has 3 exons.